RNAcentral lists this ribosomal RNA (103 nucleotides) under uncultured bacterium. Its description in RNAcentral is "partial 16S ribosomal RNA". It matches the Rfam family "Bacterial small subunit ribosomal RNA", at positions 924 to 1024 of the family's 1533-position model. The record is from RNAcentral.
CACAAGCGGUGGAUGAUGUGGUUUAAUUCGACGCAACGCGAAAAACCUUACCUACCCUUGACAUGUACGGAACCUCAUAGAGAUGUGAGGGUGCCCGAAAAGG